This 433-nucleotide ribosomal RNA is filed under the name uncultured bacterium. Its description in RNAcentral is "partial 16S ribosomal RNA". It matches the Rfam family "Bacterial small subunit ribosomal RNA", at positions 29 to 507 of the family's 1533-position model. The record is from RNAcentral.
CACGAACGCUGGCGGCAUGCCUAACACAUGCAAGUCGAACGAGACCUUCGGGUCUAGUGGCGCACGGGUGCGUAACGCGUGGGAACCUGCCCUUAGGUUCGGCAUAACUCCCCGAAAGGGGUGCUAAUACAGGAUAAUGUCUUCGGACCAAAGAUUUAUCGCCUUUGGAUGGGCCUGCGUUGGAUUAGCUAGUUGGUAGGGUAAAAGCCUACCAAGGCGACGAUCCAUAGCUGGUCUGAGAGGAUGAUCAGCCACACUGGGACUGAGACACGGCCCAGACUCCUACGGGAGGCAGCAGUGGGGAAUAUUGGACAAUGGGCGAAAGCCUGAUCCAGCAAUGCCGCGUGAGUGAUGAAGGCCUUAGGGUUGUAAAGCUCUUUUACCCGGGAUGAUAAUGACAGUACCGGGAGAAUAAGCUCCGGCUAACUCCGUG